Molecule: ribosomal RNA, 468 nt
Filed under: uncultured bacterium
Lineage: Bacteria
Description: partial 16S ribosomal RNA
Rfam family: Bacterial small subunit ribosomal RNA
Source: RNAcentral
GACGAACGCUGGCGGCGUGCUUAACACAUGCAAGUCUAACGGAAAGGCCCUGCUUUUGUGGGGUGCUCGAGUGGCGAACGGGUGAGUAACACGUGAGUAACCUGCCCUUGACUUUGGGAUAACUUCAGGAAACUGGGGCUAAUACCGGAUAGGAGCUCCUGCUGCAUGGUGGGGGUUGGAAAGUUUCGGCGGUUGGGGAUGGACUCGCGGCUUAUCAGCUUGUUGGUGGGGUAGUGGCUUACCAAGGCUUUGACGGGUAGCCGGCCUGAGAGGGUGACCGGCCACAUUGGGACUGAGAUACGGCCCAGACUCCUACGGGAGGCAGCAGUGGGGAAUAUUGCACAAUGGGCGGAAGCCUGAUGCAGCAACGCCGCGUGCGGGAUGACGGCCUUCGGGCUGUAAACCGCUUUCGCCUGUGACGAAGCGUGAGUGACGGUAAUGGGUAAAGAAGCACCGGCUAACUACGUG